UACGGAGGGUGCAAACGUUGUUCGGAAUUACUGGGCGUAAAGCGCGUGUAGGCGGCUUGGCAAGUCGGGUGUGAAAGCCCUGGGCUCAACCUAGGAAGUGCACUCGAAACUGCUUCGCUCGAGGACCGGAGAGGAAAGCGGAAUUCUCGGUGUAGAGGUGAAAUUCGUAGAUAUCGAGAGGAACACCGGUGGCGAAGGCGGCUUUCUGGACGGUUUCUGACGCUGAGACGCGAAAGCGUGGGGAGCAAACAGG
Molecule: unclassified non-coding RNA, 253 nt
Filed under: uncultured Myxococcales bacterium
Lineage: Bacteria; Pseudomonadati; Myxococcota; Myxococcia; Myxococcales
Description: contains 16S-23S intergenic spacer region
Rfam family: Bacterial small subunit ribosomal RNA
Source: RNAcentral